GGAUUCCCCUAGUAACUGCGAGUGAAGCGGGAAAAGCUCAAAUUUAAAAUCUGGCAGCCUUUGGUUGUCCGAGUUGUAAUCUAGAGAAGUGCUAUCCGCGCUGGACCGUGUACAAGUCUCCUGGAAUGGAGCGUCAUAGAGGGUGAGAAUCCCGUCUUUGACACGGACUGCCAGGGCUUUGUGAUGUGCUCUCGAAGAGUCGAGUUGUUUGGGAAUGCAGCUCAAAAUGGGUGGUAAAUUCCAUCUAAAGCUAAAUAUUGGCGAGAGACCGAUAGCGAACAAGUACCGUGAGGGAAAGAUGAAAAGAACUUUGGAAAGAGAGUUAAACAGUACGUGAAAUUGCUGAAAGGGAAACGCUUGAAGUCAGUCGCGUUGUCCAGGGAUCAACCUUGCUUUUGCUUGGUGCACUUUCUGGUUGACGGGUCAGCAUCAAUUUUGACCAUUGGAAAAAGAUUAGGGGAAUGUGACAUCUUAGGAUGUGUUAUAGCCCUUGGUUGCAUACAAUGGUUGGGAUUGAGGAACUCAGCACGCCGCAAGGCCGGGUUUUCAACCACGUACGUGCUUAGGAUGCUGGCAUAAUGGCUUUAAUCGACCCGUCUUGAAACACGGACCAAGGAGUCUAACAUGCCUGCGAGUGUUUGGGUGGAAAACCCGAGCGCGUAAUGAAAGUGAAAGUUGAGAUCCCUAUCAUGGGGAGCAUCGACGCCCGGACCUGACCUUUUGUGACGGUUCCGCGGUAGAGCAUGUAUGUUGGGACCCGAAAGAUGGUGAACUAUGCCUGAAUAGGGUGAAGCCAGAGGAAACUCUGGUGGAGGCUCGUAGCGAUUCUGACGUGCAAAUCGAUCGUCAAAUUUGGGUAUAGGGGCGAAAGACUAAUCGA
Molecule: ribosomal RNA, 880 nt
Filed under: Cortinarius acutus
Lineage: Eukaryota; Fungi; Basidiomycota; Agaricomycetes; Agaricales; Cortinariaceae
Description: eukaryotic LSU rRNA
Rfam family: Eukaryotic large subunit ribosomal RNA
Source: RNAcentral